RNAcentral lists this ribosomal RNA (747 nucleotides) under Triticum aestivum (bread wheat). Its description in RNAcentral is "partial small subunit ribosomal RNA". Lineage: Eukaryota; Viridiplantae; Streptophyta; Magnoliopsida; Poales; Poaceae. The record is from RNAcentral.
AUGAACAUCGCCCUCCUGACCCGUUGGCUAUGGCGUAUUGCUAAUGGCGACGGAGGCCUUUGGCUCACCAUCAUCCGGAACAAGUACCUCCGUGGACAACCCCUGGCUUUCUGUCAGUGAUCGAGCGGCUCCCAAUUCUGGCAGGCCGUCAUUCAGCUGCUCCCUGUGCUUCGCAUUGGCACUUCCAUCUCGGUUGGUACUGGGUUCGCGACCCUGUUCUGGUUUGAUUGAUGGAUUGGCGACACCCCUCUGGCGGCCCGCUUUCCCGAGCUAUUCGCCAUUGCUGUUGACCCUCGGGUCUCAGUUGAGAUGGCCCUUAUUGACUUAGGGCGCCUCACAUUUCGCCGCCCUUUUGGCCUGCCCGAAGUGGCCACCUGGGAUGCCCUCCUCGAGGACAUCGCCCUUCUCCCGAUGAGCGUCAACGACACCCCGGACGCCAUCUCUUGGCGUCUAGAAUCUUUCGGUCGCUUCUCAACUAAAUCCCUGUACGCGGCCAUCGCGCCCUCGCCCGCCCCCGAGCCUUUCAGUUUGAUCUGGGACAUCCGCCUGCCACUGAAGAUUAGGAUCUUCCUUUGGCAAUGGAUCCGUGGCCGCCUCCCCUCCGGAGUCGAGGUCCUCAAGCGUAACGGACCAGGAGAUGAGCUUUGCCCCAUGUGCGGCACGGUGGAGGAUGCUAAUCACAUCUUCUUCACGUGCACCACGGCCCAGUUUCUAUGGUCCAGCUUCCGUGAUACGGUUGGCGGAUAG